UACGUAGGGUGCGAGCGUUAAUCGGAAUUACUGGGCGUAAAGCGUGCGCAGGCGGUUCGUGAUGUCUGAUGUGAAAGCCCCGGGCUCAACCUGGGAACUGCAUUGGAAACUAGCGGGCUGGAGUGUGGCAGAGGGGGGUGGAAUUCCACGUGUAGCAGUGAAAUGCGUAGAGAUGUGGAGGAACACCGAUGGCGAAGGCAGCCCCCUGGGCUAGUACUGACGCUCAUGCACGAAAGCGUGGGGAGCAAACAGG
RNAcentral lists this ribosomal RNA (253 nucleotides) under uncultured bacterium. RNAcentral's name for it is "partial 16S ribosomal RNA". It matches the Rfam family "Bacterial small subunit ribosomal RNA", at positions 524 to 776 of the family's 1533-position model. The record is from RNAcentral.